Long non-coding RNA from Triticum aestivum (bread wheat), 1970 nucleotides. RefSeq lists it as uncharacterized. The transcript has 2 exons. Lineage: Eukaryota; Viridiplantae; Streptophyta; Magnoliopsida; Poales; Poaceae. The record is from RefSeq and is a predicted model, not a curated record.
AUGCCCUGCAGCCGACCGCUCCGGCGUCCUUCCACACGGGCGAGCAGAGGCACCCACGCCGCCACCUCUUCCUCUCCUUCUCCUGGAGCGCGUGGACCUCGACGGAGUUACCACCAUCGCGUCAUCGAUCUGGCUGAUGCCUCACCUGUGGCACGAUCUGAUCUGGGAGAGAUGGUGAGGGGUGGGGGCGGUGGAGGUAGGGGAGAGGGAAAGGGUGAUCCGGUGCAGGACUACCACGCUGUAGACUCGAGGCGCCCAACCCCGGCUACCUCAACGACCCCGCCUCCUUAAUGACGACCUACACCAUCUUCCUGCUGCCUAUAAGCGAGGAGACCGCCACCUCUCAGUGACUUCCCAUGCUCCUGCAAAAAUUCCUCUUCAGAUAGUGGAGUGGCAUCUCUCCCAUAGUCUUCAACAUCCGUGUCCUCACAGAUCCGUUCUCUUUUUCAUGAAGUGCCUGGGGGCUUUGGCCACAUGAAAACUUUCAUUUGAAAUAUAGAAGAUAAAAAUCAGUGAUUUUGAUGUCAUACCACUCAUCUUUCGGCACUGUACGGACAAACUUUGAGAUCUUUACUGCCAUCCCAACAGAUGAAGACAUGGAUUACAUAUUAAAAGUUCAUCAGUGUUCUGUCGUUUAAGACCAUGUGUGGGUAUACCAUUGACAACCAAUGAUUUCUUUAUGCUUGAAAAAUACUUCAUCGCUGCACUAUGAUGGUAAGAUAUGUUUUGUUUUCCUCUAAGGAAACUUCAUAGUUCCAACACUGUUUUAUUUUUGCAGCAUUGUAGAGUUCUUUUGAACGUAUAGGAUUCCAAAUCAUAUUCAGAUUUUUCAUUCGCAAUGCUUUCUUAAUUCCCAUUAACCUGGCCUUCAUGGUAAUCAUUGCCACCUAAAUCUAGCAAAUAAUCACCGGUUAUUUAUGGUUCAAUAUUUAUGCAUCACCAGUUGUAAAGGGUUCAGUAUAUCAGUUAAUAGAACUUUGUUGCUAUAUUCAUAUGUACAUUUCUAUCAAAUGUACAUGAUUUAAUUUUUGUUGGUGGUGUAUACUCAUUGGAUUAUUCCAUUUUUUUGUCAAUUUGAUUGUGGGAAUGACCCAAAUUUGCCAAAGGAGUAGUGAAGUGGGUGCUAAAAUCUUCAUCUUUCGGUUGCUUUAAAAAUGAUUUGGCAUCUCCAAGUAAUGUUUCCUUAUUGUGAGUAACAUGGGGAAAGUCUUCAUACUGUAGAGAACCACGACAUUGAGGGCGUUCUCCUUUGCGAUUAGGCCAUCCCAAAUCUAGGUGCCAUCAGCUUUGUGAUCAUAUUUAUUACUCUCACUUACAAUUUUGUUGCCUUUCACUUGUGGUCUGGCAAGGGAUCUUUUAUGUACCGUCUCAUGGCAGUAUUUUUUUCUAAUUGUAUAAUUCAUCUAUGCUGAGCAUAAAUGCAAAAAAUAAAAAGCGGACUAUGUUCUUGCCCUAUUCUGCUACUUGAUGCAUCUGUCUUUUUUCCUCCCAUGUCAUGAUUUCAUCUGACCAAUCUUUUUGUUUUGAAUAGUAAUAUAUAUAUUGCUAUUUUGUAUAACUACUAGCUUCCUUAUUGACAUCUAUUGUUACUAAUCCAGCACGGCUCCUGGGAUCUUUAAUUCCAUUUCAAUUUUCUUUGGAAAUCUUCUGCCAGCUCAAGUGCUCAUGUCAAGGAAUAUAGUUGUAUUUUACUUGGAUUUUUCAUUUGCCUUGCAAUGCUAAUGGAGAAAAGGCAACCAAAUUAUUGGAGGGAUAGCGAUUGUUAAAGAAUAGAUAAACAAACUAUUUGCCAUGGAAAUUACUAUUCGGAGACCUGGUGCAUUUGGAAAGUAUGUAAGGAUCAAGUCUUUGAUAAUGUACUUCCAAACUUUGGUUGGUGCUCAAUUCCUAUUGUUAGCACCUACACAUAGAACUAUACUGGACAGUGUAAUGAAAAUUGCUCUUUCCCUUGAACUCAUAACAUUAUUCCA